This 408-nucleotide ribosomal RNA is filed under the name bacterium. Its description in RNAcentral is "bacterial SSU rRNA". It matches the Rfam family "Bacterial small subunit ribosomal RNA", at positions 354 to 776 of the family's 1533-position model. RNAcentral also lists the same sequence under 1 other name. The record is from RNAcentral.
GUGGGGAAUAUUGCACAAUGGGCGAAAGCCUGAUGCAGCAACGCCGCGUGAAGGAAGAAGGGUUUCGGCUCGUAAACUUCUAUCAACAGGGACGAAAGAAAUGACGGUACCUGAAUAAGAAGCCCCGGCUAACUACGUGCCAGCAGCCGCGGUAAUACGUAGGGGGCAAGCGUUAUCCGGAAUUACUGGGUGUAAAGGGUGAGUAGGCGGCAUGGUAAGCCAGAUGUGAAAGCCUUGGGCUUAACCCGAGGAUUGCAUUUGGAACUAUCAAGCUAGAGUACAGGAGAGGAAAGCGGAAUUCCUAGUGUAGCGGUGAAAUGCGUAGAUAUUAGGAAGAACACCAGUGGCGAAGGCGGCUUUCUGGACUGAAACUGACGCUGAGGCACGAAAGCGUGGGGAGCGAACAGG